This 360-nucleotide small RNA is filed under the name Histoplasma capsulatum var. duboisii H88. RNAcentral's name for it is "Histoplasma capsulatum H88 hypothetical RNA". Lineage: Eukaryota; Fungi; Ascomycota; Eurotiomycetes; Onygenales; Ajellomycetaceae. The record is from RNAcentral.
GCUGUAAAUAUACUAUACUUGAUUCAAUAGCAAGUCUAUUACUCAACUGUCAAUAUCUAGUUUGAUAUUCAUUUUUGACUUCCACAUAAAAUAGAGUGCUAGAUCUUCUGCAUAUUUAUUGAGAAUUGAAAGCUUUUCUUUCAGAGAUUUGUUAUAAGAUGUGAGUGUAGAAGGAAUAGUGAAUACAGAGAUGCUCAUCUCUAUAAAUUGAUAUUGCAACUCAGUCAUUUGCAGAGUUUGCUGUUAAAGAAUACUUUGUAGAUCUAGAUUAUUAUCUGCUAUAUUUGAAUGCAGUGGGUGCUCAUAGAUGUGUUCAUAAUUCAUCUUGAAAUCUAAGAAUAUAUAAACUAAAAAAAAGGA